Long non-coding RNA from Toxorhynchites rutilus septentrionalis, 1925 nucleotides. RefSeq lists it as uncharacterized. The record is from RefSeq and is a predicted model, not a curated record. NCBI's taxonomy places the organism in Eukaryota, Metazoa, Arthropoda, Insecta, Diptera, Culicidae. The transcript has 3 exons.
UUCGCCUUCGAAAAUUUGAUUGGUUUAUGCCAAUCAAAUUUUCGAAAAUUCAGCAGGGAAUGAUGUAGCGUGGUACUGGUUUCGACAUUUGGAAGCCCCUCGUUUAGUUAUUUUGAAGUUCAGAUUCUACACCAGCUCACUUGUGUGAAUCGGAGCCUCUCUCUUCUUUCAAUGUAUUGGAUGUAAGGCAACGCGAGUGCCGCUCCUCUUUUUAGAUUUGAGCAACUUGGCAUAAUGGGUGCUGGAUGUGAUUCGACGGCUGUGUUUUAGCCAAGACACCCAAAUACCAAUACACCCGAAAGACUCAUGCUUUCCUUUUUUCAUUUUUUUCGUUUGGAUAUUUCCCCCAAAUAGCAGAGUCUUUCGGCGGAGGUUUUCUUGUUCUUGGAACCUCAAAAACCCGGCAAGCGAUUCGAUUUGAACUGCGCUCGGGAGGUUAAAGGUGAUCGCCCGAGAAUAUUUGAAUAUGAGACCGAUGUAGGGACAAGGGAACUUGGCAUGACUUGCGUGAUUAUUAACUUCGUUAAUAAUUACGCAGUUCCGGUCCUAUUGAUUAGUACGCUGAUCUGAGGACUAAAAAUUAUGUUCUUCCAUUUCAACGUGGACCGUGGAAGAGGUCGGAGUGGUGUUAUUUUCUUGAACCGCGAAUUUCACAAAAGCUGGAUAGUCGAUAGAUUUAGGCAAAGUUGAAGUUGUACCCUCCCGUGCAUCCGUUAAAUACAUCCGGAGGAAGCGCCGCUACUGACCCCACGGAGUCAACGUUGGAAUUGACCAAAAAUCCAGCCAAGGCUCAAACCUUUCCGCCUGGUUCGAAGACUGCGCUGCGCGAACAAUACUGGCAGCCGCAACAGGCGUAAACCGGAAGUUAGGACCGCUCAUCGCACGCCCAGCUAGGAGUAGAACCCGUCGACGUAGCGAAUCACAUAAAUCCAUGGUAGUGAGUACCUUUUUUCCUUAUCCAUUAUUAACAUGCGCAUGUAGGAUAAGUGAUAUUGAGCAAAACGCUAUAAAUAGCUACUAACCACGAAAGCCACACAAUUCAAAGCCAUACACACACAAAUAAUGCAUGCAGUGGAGAGCUCACUCCAUAUGACUGUGUAAUUUCAAUCGCUAUAAGCGAAGCCAUUCAUGAAUAGCCUAACGGAGUAAAUAGCAAGCGCGCCGUCUUCUCAACCUAGAUGUGAUGAGAUCGAGACUUGGGAGGAAAAUUAGAGUAGAGUAAUGAAAUUUGAUUAAUGUUCUUAGAGUAAAUAAAUUUUCUAUGUUGAUGGUUGUUCUUUCCUGAUUGACUAAAUGUUCAAUGUAGAAGAGAAGUGUUGAUGAAGCUAAUUGAUUUAAGUGAUUGAGAAUGUUGUGAGAGAUGUUUUGAUAUUUAAUGUAGUGUAAAAUAAACUUUUCCGUUCGAUUUAUAUGUUAAGGUCUAAGAAACAAAUGUGUAUUUACUGGCUCGCGGUGGCCUAAACACCGACGAACCCGUUCACUCUUCUUUUUGUGUUAAUUAGGUCACGAGUCAGGGUGGAGACUCCUUUUUUUGUUUACUUCCACUCUCACUCCUACGCUCCGAAGCGAGCUCUGAAGUUGAGGGGAAGAUCAUUAUUAGUAGGUCCAGUGAGGAGACCUCAGCAUAAGUGGUAGUCAGUGGGAUCGACCCAGACUUCCUUGUGUCUGCAUUACGUCUCGUGGACAAACGAUAUCGCGGGUUCUCCCGAGAGUGCAGGAAAAAAGUCGCGAAGCUAACCGGGUUGGUGAGGAGAAAAGGACAAACCCGCCCUCAGUGGGUGUCUCAUUGCCGGGCAAGGAAAAUAACACGGCGGUCGGUCUCCCUCACGGGAGUGGCGCUUAAGCCGACCGCUUAUCUGCGCAAAUUCCCCGGUAGCGACGGGCUCGCGCGCUCCCCCGGCGUCGCGGGUUACAUUUGGCGCCCA